AAGUCGUAACAAGGUUUCCGUAGGUGAACCUGCGGAAGGAUCAUUAAUGACACUUGUUAUACCAAUAUCAAACCAAAUGUGAACCGUAACGCUCCUAUUGUGAUGUAUUUCAGUCUGCUUCACGGCAGACGGAAGUGCUUCACAGUAGGGAAUACCCUUCCAGUAGUCAUCCCAAGCUUCGGUUUGGCUGAUGAUGAAGUAUUAACCAACCUUUACUCUAUAACUUUUACCUGUCUGAUCUUCAUAAACUUGUGAAUGGCACCCGCUGUUUAUAAGCUUUACGAAAUUUAACGAACAACUCCUAGCAAUGGAUAUCUCGGGUCAU
Molecule: unclassified non-coding RNA, 325 nt
Filed under: fungal sp.
Lineage: Eukaryota; Fungi
Description: partial internal transcribed spacer region
Rfam family: Eukaryotic small subunit ribosomal RNA (bases 1-46)
Source: RNAcentral